AGGUGAAAAUAUUCCCGACCUUCUUUUGCUUGGCCCUGAGGAAUUUAAGAGGAUUGGCACCAAACUGCAAUGCACAGCCCAGACGGUGGAAGCUGAAGCUACAGAGGUCUUGUGAGCUGAACUCAGGACACCUGAUUUCCAAUUCAACUCCAGCUUCUGGAUCCACUGCCCACUUUCAACUGAGGAGAUGUUAGAGACUGUUUGGACCCAGCAGUAAAGCAGAUUAAGUCGGAUGAUGAGUCAAGUGCCAAUUAAACUACAAUACUAUUUCAUGCUCUGG
Ornithorhynchus anatinus (platypus) is the source of this 280-nucleotide long non-coding RNA. RefSeq lists it as uncharacterized. The record is from RefSeq and is a predicted model, not a curated record. NCBI's taxonomy places the organism in Eukaryota, Metazoa, Chordata, Mammalia, Monotremata, Ornithorhynchidae. The transcript is spliced from 2 exons.